This 497-nucleotide ribosomal RNA is filed under the name uncultured bacterium. RNAcentral describes it as "partial 16S ribosomal RNA". It matches the Rfam family "Bacterial small subunit ribosomal RNA", at positions 28 to 507 of the family's 1533-position model. The record is from RNAcentral.
GAUGAACGCUGGCGGCGUGCCUAAUACAUGCAAGUCGAGCGAACGGACGAGAAGCUUGCUUCUCUGAUGUUAGCGGCGGACGGGUGAGUAACACGUGGAUAACCUACCUAUAAGACUGGGAUAACUUCGGGAAACCGGAGCUAAUACCGGAUAAUAUUUUGAACCGCAUGGUUCAAAAGUGAAAGACGGUCUUGCUGUCACUUAUAGAUGGAUCCGCGCUGCAUUAGCUAGUUGGUAAGGUAACGGCUUACCAAGGCAACGAUGCAUAGCCGACCUGAGAGGGUGAUCGGCCACACUGGAACUGAGACGCGGUCCAGACUCCUACGGGAGGCAGCAGUAGGGAAUCUUCCGCAAUGGGCGAAAGCCUGACGGAGCAACGCCGCGUGAGUGAUGAAGGUCUUCGGAUCGUAAAACUCUGUUAUUAGGGAAGAACACAUGUGUAAGUAACUGUGCACAUCUUGACGGUACCUAAUCAGAAAGCCACGGCUAACUACGUG